CCUACGGGUGGCAGCAGUGGGGAAUAUUGGACAAUGGGGGCAACCCUGAUCCAGCCAUGCCGCGUGUGUGAAGAAGGCCCUCGGGUUGUAAAGCACUUUCAGUGAGGAAGAACGCCUGGUGGUUAAUACCCAUCAGGAAAGACAUCACUCACAGAAGAAGCACCGGCUAACUCCGUGCCAGCAGCCGCGGUAAUACGGAGGGUGCGAGCGUUAAUCGGAAUUACUGGGCGUAAAGCGCGCGUAGGUGGCUUGAUAAGCCGGUUGUGAAAGCCCCGGGCUCAACCUGGGAACGGCAUCCGGAACUGUCAAGCUUGAGUGCAGGAGAGGAAGGUAGAAUUCCCGGUGUAGCGGUGAAAUGCGUAGAGAUCGGGAGGAAUACCAGUGGCGAAGGCGGCCUUCUGGACUGACACUGACACUGAGGUGCGAAAGCGUGGGUAGCAAACAGGAUUAGAUACCCUGGUAGUC
This 465-nucleotide ribosomal RNA is filed under the name Vreelandella stevensii. RNAcentral's name for it is "partial 16S ribosomal RNA". It matches the Rfam family "Bacterial small subunit ribosomal RNA", at positions 338 to 795 of the family's 1533-position model. The record is from RNAcentral. Lineage: Bacteria; Pseudomonadati; Pseudomonadota; Gammaproteobacteria; Oceanospirillales; Halomonadaceae.